UACGUAGGGGGCGAGCGUUGUCCGGAUUUAUUGGGUUUAAAGGGUGCGUAGGCGGCCCUAUAAGUCAGUGGUGAAAUAUCGCAGCUUAACUGUGAGGGUGCCAUUGAUACUGUAGGGCUUGAGUGAAUUUGAGGUAGGCGGAAUUGACGGUGUAGCGGUGAAAUGCUUAGAUAUCGUCAAGAACACCGAUAGUGAAGACAGCUUACCAAGCUUCAACUGACGCUGAGGCACGAAAGUGUGGGGAGCAAACAGG
This 253-nucleotide ribosomal RNA is filed under the name uncultured bacterium. RNAcentral's name for it is "partial 16S ribosomal RNA". It matches the Rfam family "Bacterial small subunit ribosomal RNA", at positions 524 to 776 of the family's 1533-position model. The record is from RNAcentral.